UACGAAGGGUGCUAGCGUUGUUCGGAAUCACUGGGCGUAAAGCGCGCGUAGGCGGCUUUUCAAGUCAGAGGUGAAAUCCCAGGGCUCAACCCUGGAAUUGCCUUUGAAACUGUAAAGCUGGAGUGUCGGAGGGGAUAGCGGAAUUGCUAAUGUAGAGGUGAAAUUCGUAGAUAUUAGCAGGAACACCGGUGGCGAAGGCGGCUAUCUGGACGACAACUGACGCUGAGGCGCGAAAGCGUGGGGAUCAAACAGG
Molecule: ribosomal RNA, 253 nt
Filed under: uncultured bacterium
Lineage: Bacteria
Description: partial 16S ribosomal RNA
Rfam family: Bacterial small subunit ribosomal RNA
Source: RNAcentral